GCCCCAGUAGCUCAGCUGGUUAGAGCGCCUGUUUCGUAAACAGGAGGUCAGGAGUUCAAAACUCCUCUGGGGCU
RNAcentral lists this transfer RNA (74 nucleotides) under Microcaldota archaeon. Its description in RNAcentral is "Candidatus Micrarchaeota archaeon (hot springs metagenome) tRNA-Thr". It matches the Rfam family "tRNA". From Rfam's summary of the family: Transfer RNA (tRNA) molecules are approximately 80 nucleotides in length. Lineage: Archaea; Nanobdellati; Microcaldota. The record is from RNAcentral.